GUGCACGCUUCGGCAGAACAUCUACUAAAGUUGGAAUGAUGUAGAGAAGAUUAGCAUGGUCCCUGAGCAAGGAUGACAAGCAAAUUCAUGAAGCAUUUCAUAUUUUU
Molecule: small nuclear RNA, 107 nt
Organism: Dipodomys spectabilis (banner-tailed kangaroo rat)
Lineage: Eukaryota; Metazoa; Chordata; Mammalia; Rodentia; Heteromyidae
Source: RefSeq, a predicted model, not a curated record